Non-coding RNA from Pelobates cultripes (western spadefoot toad), 20919 nucleotides. NCBI's taxonomy places the organism in Eukaryota, Metazoa, Chordata, Amphibia, Anura, Pelobatidae. The record is from the annotation of a GenBank genome assembly.
AUCUUUUAUGUAAAGUAAGAUGAAUUUAUCAGAUCUUUAAUAUUAAAUCGUGACCAAGUUUCCAGUAAAUUUAGUUAUGUGCUGUGGAACAAGUGCUUCUGCGUCUAUAAGGAAGCAUUUUUAUUUCGUAUGUUUAUAUAUGUGAGCCUUAAUUUAUUAAUCCAUCUAAACAGAUUUAUCUACAGAAUAUUUUAUUAAAAUGUUGUGUUACCAUCGGGACUGAGCCCUCCUGUCUGAGAAUCAUAAUUUAAUAUUUUUUCUCUCAGCCUCUUGUCUCUGCUUAAUAUUUUAAGCAGUUUACAGUAAAUUCCAUUAGUGGCCAGUGACCAAAGUUUUUUUUUUUUUUUUUUUAAAGGACCAUACUCAGCUAUUUUUGAAACUAUCCUGUACCGUCGCUGAUUCUAUUUUUUUUUUAUUGUGUAAGGUGAAUUGCCUUUAACAUUCCAUUUCUAGUCUAACAUAUUUAUGGUUGAUAUAAAAACAUCACAAUAGAUUCUUCAUUUUCCUAUUUUUUUCCCCUCACGUUAACUUUGACAGUUUUUUUUCAUAAGUUCAGCUCUGAUCAAAAGAUUUCACCUGGAUUUAAAGGAAAUAUAAAGAAUGGAACACUGCUACAGUGAUAUAGUUGAUUUACUAUAACAAUGGAAUACUAAUUUUGUCUACAAUUCCCAGAAGAAUCAUCUAAAAUGAUGCAUUUUCCUAUUAAACAGAAAAUGGAAGCCAAGUGUAUACAAAAAGAUUGGAAGGAGGAGGAGCUCACUGCCAUUGCAAAAGGUUUGUAUUGUUAAUUUACUUAUAACACUUGUUCAGUAGGAUGAGCUGAUGUCUCCUUUAACCCCUUAAGGACGGAGCCAAAUGUACACGUUGUGAACGAAACAAAAUGUAAACAAAACCUGGCAUUUGCGCUACAUGUCUGUCCAACCAUAAUUCAACUCUUUCAUAGUAAAUACACCCACCCUUAUUAUAUAUCAUUUUAUUCAGGGGAAACAGGGCUUUCAUUUACUAUCAAAUAUUUAGCUAUGAAACUUAAUUUAAUAUGAAAAAAAUGGGAGAAAAUAAGAUUUAUUUUUAAUUUUUUUAGUUCUACAUGACAUUUUAACUCAAUGUCAUAAUACUGUUUGCUUUUACUGCAAUAAAAUACAAAUAUUUGUAUUCAGCAAAGUCUCACGUGUAAAACAGUACCCCCUAUGUACAGGUUUUAUGGCGUUUUGGGAAGUUACAGGGUCAAAUAUAGCACUAUACAUUUGAAAUUGAAAUUCGCCAGAUUGGUUACGCUGCCUUUGGGACUUUAUAGUAGCCCAGGAAUGAAAUUUACACCCACAAUGGCAUACCAUUUGCAAUAGUAGGCAACCCAAGGUAUUGCAAAUGGGGUAUGUCCAAUCUUUUUUAGUAGCCAUUUGGUCACAAACACUGGCCAAAGCUAGCGUUAGUAUUUGUUUGUGUGAAAAAUGCAAAAACCGCCAAUUUUGGCCUGUGUUUGUGACUAAGUGGCUUCUAAAAAAGACUGGACAUACCCCGUUUGCAAUGCCUUGGGUUGUCUACUAUUGCAAAUGGUAUGCCAUCAUAGGGGUAAUUUUCAUUCUUGGGCUACCAUAGGGUCUCAAAGGCAACGUAACCAAUCUGGCGAAUUUUAAUGUGAAAAAAAUGAAACACAAGCCUUAUAUUUGAUGCUGUAACUUUUGAAAACACCAUAAAACCUGUACAUGAGGGGUACUGUUGUACUCGGGAGACUUCGCUGAACACAAAUAUUUGUGUUUCAAAACAGUAAAAAGUAUCACAGCAAUAAUAUUGUCCAUGUAACUGCUGUUUGUGCAUGAAAAAUGCAAAAAACUUCACUUUUACUGGCGAUAUCAUCGUUGUAAUACAUUUUACUGUUUUGAAACACUAAUAUUUGUGUUCAGCGAAGUCUCCCGAGUAGAACAGUACCCCCCAUGUACAGGUUUUAUGGUGUCUUGGAAAGUUAUAGGGUUAAAUAUAGUGCUAGCAAAUUAAAUUCCCUUUACUUUCGGCAUGGGUUGUCAGGCAGGUCCAGCUAAUUGUAAUUAAUUAAGAUACCUAAUUAUGUAAAAAUAUUACAUAAAUAUAUAUGUAGAAUUAAUAUAUGUAUAUAUAUACGUAUGUGAAUCUAUAUGUGUAUAUACAUAUAAUUUUUUUAAAAUAUUUUUAUUUAUAUAUAGGUAUAUAUAUAGUGAUAUAUACGUAUAUAUUUAUGUAUGUAGAUAUAUAUAUUAUUUCGUUCUAUGUGUAUUUUGAUAUAAAUAUAUAUAUAUAUUAAUAUCACAAUACAGUUAGAACGAAAUAACACACAUCUACCGGUAUAUAUUUUUUAAUUAUUUUUUUUUAAAUUUAUUUCUUAACGUAUUUACAUAUUUCAUUUUUUUAUAUUAUAGAUAAAUAUAUAUAUAACAAUAAUUAUAUAUAUAUUUAAUCAGUAUCAGUCUACGUGUAAUUUGAUAUUAAUAUAUAUAUAAUUAUAAUAGUAAAAUACACCUAGACAGUAUAUGUGUGUGUAUGUAUAUGUGUAUAUAUAUAUAUACUUAGAUCAUAUAUAUAUAUAUAUGAUCUAAAUAUAUAUAUAUAUAUAUUUUUUUUACACUUAAUUAAUUUAUUUUCAUUUUAUUUCCAGCCAGCAGGGGGACCACCUGUCAUUACAGGCAGCCCCCCUGCUGGCAAUACAGAAGCCAGCUAUACCGGCCAUGUGAUUGUGGGGUCCUCGCAAGGACCUCACUCUCACAUGGCCCGGGGGCACCGGAGGAGGAGGAUCUGCCGCGGGGGGGCUCCCUGGGAAGUAAAGAAAGACCGGAGGGCGUACAAUUACGCCCGGCGGCGUUUAGAGCCGCCUAAAAUAGGGCGUAAUUGUACGCCCUACGGUCUUAAGGGGUUAAGGGGAGGAGGAUAUGUGUAUUCUAAAAGGCUUCUGUUAAAGUUACACUGUAGUCACCAAAACAACUUUAGCUUAACAAAGCAUUUUGGGUGUAUAGAUCAUGCCGCUGCAGUCUUACUGCUCAAUUCCAUUUAGGAGUUAGACCACGUUUGGUUCUGUCCAUGCAGCCCUAUCCACACCUGCCAUGGCUGUAACUGACAUAGCCUGAAUAAAAACAAAAUGGUUUCAUUUUCAAUCAGAUGUAACUUACUUUAAAUUAUUGCCUGUUCUGUAAAUUGAACUUUAAUCACUUUAAUCAGGGUUUAGCAAGCUAUUAACAGAGUGGGAGAUAAUACAUUCUAAAUUAAACAUAAUGUGCAAUAAAGGAAGUGUAAACAUUAGAUGACGCUUGAAAGGAAGUGUUUAGUAAGGCUGCGUACGUCAUUUGCAGGGAGAUGUAGCUAGGGCUGUAUAAACAAAGUGAUUUAACUUCUAAAUGGCAGAUAAUUGAGUAAUGAGGCUGCAGGGGCAUGAUCUACGCAACAAAACUGCUUCAUUAAACAAAAGUUGUUUUGGUGUCCUUUUAAAAUCAAUGCUGCCCAGUAUACGUUUUACAAAUGUCAUCCUUUUAAAAGGGAAACCAUUUUAUAUUACCCUGCAGAAAAGCCUGCACAUAUAACGUGUAUAAGAUUUGGUUAUCUUAAACAGUGUGGAAACAGCUAUUUAGGUUAAUUUCAUUGUGUACAACAAUCUAUUGUGUAUCAGUUGCUUUGUGUUUUUCUUUUUGUGUUUUUUGUUUAGAUUGUUUUAUAUGCCACAAUGAAGAUACAAUUUUACAAAUGAUCUUACAUGUGCUAUUUAUUUCACUGCGUGAACUGUCAGCCUGCUAUGUUGAUAAAGAGUCUCCAAUUAUACAUCAAGCUUAUACUUUCUAUAUAGUUCAUAGUGCAACAGAGAAGUUAAUUCUGUAGACAAUAACCUUUGUUUUUUUUUUUGUUUGUUUUAUUAGCGAUGUAGUGCUGCUUAGUUUAAAGAAAACAUGACUGGUCAAAGAAAAUGAUUCAUAGUGUAGUAGGGACAAAGGACAGAAAAACUAUAUGAUUAUCAUUUUAAUUCCCCUCUAAAUCAGUCAUGCUUUUAGUUUGACUACUCUGACCUUAAAAUUGGAAUUCACUUUAAAUUCUCAGUUUAGUAAAUAGCCACAAAUUUGUUCACAGACAAGAGGGCAAGAAACAGUCAACCGCCUACACGGCACGGUGUUAAUGAAUAAGCUGUAUAUACUCCUCUCCCUACCUCGUUAUAUUCAGUUUGUUGCUCAGAAUUCGUCUUAUUAAAGAGUCCCACCUAUCAUUCUAAUAUCCACAACAUUCACAGGAUUAUUUCACAUUCACGAGGUCAAAAUAGCCGAGUUAAAGAGUUUCUAAACCUGAUUAAGCCACAUUAAAGCCACAAUCUAAUAACACCUAAUGCGUCUGAUUUUGAAAUUGAGCCCACGGGGCUGAAAGCCUGAUUAGCUGUUCACUUUUUCCUGUUUCCCUUUGGUCUGCCAUUAGCUUUAUAUCUACUAGUAUAUGGACUUAUCGCAUACCUUAAACUGGUGUUACCAGAGCUUUAAUUAUUAUAGAGUAAGAGAUUAGAAAAGGCUUGAUUUGAAAUCAGACAGAGACAGAGAGGGGUAUUUAGUGUCUGUAUAAACAAUUAUACUCUUUAUUGGAGAAAAAAAAUGGAUAGCAUACAAAUAGAACAGAGAAUAAUAAAAAACAAAGAAGAGGAGGCAAGAAUGAGAGUCUCCCAACUGUUGGAGUCCCUAGAGAAAAAUGCAGAGUAUAUUUUCAUAAUCUUUACUGGCAAUAACCACAAGCACUGGAAAAAUAGGUUUCUUUCAAAUGCUACUGUAAUUGUUUUUAAACUUUUUGUUAAAAAGCACACUAUUAAGCAGAGUGUCUGAGUUUUUGUAAUGUGGAUAGGAAUUUGUUCGGGAAUUACCGCUCUAAAACAGCUGCUUCUAAACACCUUCCAGGAUAAAAAUCAAGCCGCAUAUGGUGUAAGAAGAUUUAUUUAUCAAACAUCUCUUACCAACUGGCUCUGAAAUCUUGAUGCACACAGUAUCCAUGUAGCCAUUUCAAACAAAAAGAUAAUUCAGACAUUAGAGAAACGUGUCUCCCCUGUUACAGUAGGAGAACUCCCCUGGGUUCCCAACAGCCCCACGUUUGGCGGGGCAGUCCCUAUAUUGAGGUUCUUUCCCAACAUCCAAUUUAUUUCCCUGGUGUCACUUAUCCAGGGGACAUGAUUAGUUGUGCUUGUACUAUGCACUAGAAUCAUGCAUAGAGCUCUUCAGCAGCACUCUAUGCAUAAUCCUGUAUAUUGGGGGCCGUCUGGGAGGCUGUCAGUCAAUGUCCUUGGCAGGCCUAUCCAUUAUGGGCAUCACUAGUGACACAAGUUGCCCACUUACCACAAUUCCAUACCGCCCAACCAUUGUUGGGCCAUAUGUCUCCUCAAUGCUCUAAAUGCUAUGGGCACAAUAGGGCUGGGUUUUUGACAGACAGUAUGUUUUGGGCCCAUAAUGAAUAUAUUAAAAAAAAUUGCCGUCCUGGCGGUUCAUUUUCCCUGUACUUUUAAUUCUAGUUAUUUUAAUUCUCCUCCCCCCCCAACCCCCCCACCCCUUUUUUGAUUUUUGGUAAAACAAAACAUUCUAUUAUAUAAUAGUUAAUAUAUGGGGUUAGAUAUUAAGUUCUACAGCCUUCACUAUAAUAUGUAACAGUUUGUUGAUCCAAGGAUAAAUCUGUCAUUAUAAAGUCAAGAAGGAUUUUUCAAAUAUUGUGGCAAAAAACAAAACAAAAAACAAUCUUUUUUUACCCCUUUUUUAAAAAUGUAUUUAAAGUCUUUAUUUUUUUCGUGCUCAAAAAAAAAAAAUACAGAGAGGUAAGCAAUGCCAUAACAGCUAUUGCCCGCUCGUUGGUCAACAGUUAGGAACAAGUAUUUGGCAUAUCAGAACAUGGCACAUUUUAUAGUAUAUUGUAGAUAAGAGUGAUAACAACAUAUCAGCUAUUAGAUAAGUCCUACCUGCCCUUAAGUCGUGAUAACCAUAUGGACUUUUUAUACUGGGGUCUUAAGCUGAUCUGAAACAGAUCUUGUCUAAUGUACAAGAACAAGGUUAAAAACUCUGCAGAAGUUGCAUAAUUUGCAAUAAUAAUUAUAAACAUAAAGUAAACAGGUGUUGUGUUUUUAAAUUAAAAGGAGGAGGUUUGCAGUGAUGAGGUCAUAUGGUGAUACAUCUCGUAUUAUGUUUAGAGUACGAGAGGGAAUAACGAUAUAAUAACACUAAGCUAUUGCUGUACAGUAAGUAGAUAUUUAAGACCUUUGCGUGGUGUCAUAUUUUGUAGUGCAUAUUUGAGAAGGGCCUGCAUAGCCACAGGAGCAGGUGUUAGCCAAUUUAGAUCUACAACAUUUAAAGGACCACUAUAGGACCACUAUAGUGCCAGGAAAACAAACUCGCCCCCACCCUCAAGGCCCCCCUCCCGCCGGGCUGAAGUUGGAGGAAGGGGUUAAACACUUACCUUUCUCCUCCUCCUUUGGACGUCAUCGGCUGAAUGCGCAUGCGUGGCAAGAGCCGCGCGCGCCUUCAUUCAGUCCAUAGGAAAGCAUUCUCAAUGCUUUCCUAUGGACGCUGGCAUCUUCUCACUGUGAAAAUCACAGUAAGAAGCGCGGAAACGCCUCUAGCGGCUGUCAAUGAGACAGCCACUAGAGGCUGGAUUAACCCUAUUGUAAAGUACUCUAUUUUUCGAUACUUUGACAGCUGAAAGCCCAUUCACCUGCGUUUAGCGGUCAAAUAAAGGAAGGCAAUUUUAGAAGUAACAAGAGAAUGGGCGCUGUAAGGUGAUAAUUCUGUAACACAAUCUCUAUAAAUACUUACCUGGCAAUGUGCUGACUCAGCUCCCCAGCAGAUUAGCGCACUUGGCCUCUUAUCAGUGUGUGAGUGUCGAAACUGCUAUGUUUACAGCAGACAGGGUUAACCCUAGAUGGACCUGGCACCCAGACUACUUCAUUGAGCUGAAGUGGUCUGGGUGCCUAUAGUGGUCCUUUAACAACGAUAUGGCAAUAAAAGAAAAGCACAAUUUUUAAUUAUGUAUAGGGCCAUAGGUAUGCACUUGAGUUUGACGUACGGCUUCCACACUUUUUUAAACCCCUUUUAAUUAUCCUUCCUCUUUAGCCUUUUUUAUGAAUGCUGUAAAAAUUCCGAUAUCAACGUAUUUGGUAACUUAUGCAAAGUCAUAUUUCUAUCCUGUAUAUCUUCCAAGUUAUUGAAAACAACAAAAAAGAUGCAGCACCUUCCUCUCCUAAUUAUUCCUGGACCAUGUUUCACCCAUCUUUGAUUUUGAGAAGUUUUGCAAUGCAGUUAGAAUGUUUUAUUCAAAACCUUGCACCUUUAUUCCAUUGCUUACAAUUCAUCAUUCUUACCUGGUCUGGUGCUUAUUCCCUUCCUUUCCCCAUGACAUCAGUGUUACACCUUAUCCUCAUACUGAACAUGGGAAGAAUAAACCCAUAGGAACCUCUUUUCCUUAUAAGCAUAAACCAACAUUCCCAUAAGCACCAACAAAAAAGGUAUUGAAUGAUUAAAGGUCUUUUAUAUGGCUGUAGUUUAAAUAAUGGUUACCAGGGGCUAAAAGAGAGUAACCGAAAACUAACCAAGGUCAGUGUACUAAAAACAGUAAUUGCAAAACAAGCCAAAGGUCAAUAUGAGCAGCCAGCAAGGAACCAUAACAAGCCUUGGCCAGGAUAUCAGAAACCUUAACUCACAGCAGGACAAUAUAAAUCAAAUCCAAUACAACAAUCACAUAAGGAUGCCAGUUUCAGAUUGUCUAUAAAGGCACUGAAUGGCUGUUGUGUAUUUGGAGCACUAAAUGUCACUCUGGUGGGUGAUACAAGUGAUGCUUCAUUGAUUUGGCGCACAUGUGAAAAUGACAUUCCGUUUGGAGGGACAAAAACACUAAAUAAAUAUGAAAGAUAUUAGAGAGGGGGUUUAUGUGUUCCUUAUCUAGCCCCCUCUAUAAACACAAUAAAACACUGGCCAGGUACGGUAAAUAUGCAGAGGAAUCGGGUUUUACCUAUUUACAUAUUUUAGCAAGUUUUUGUAUUGAAAAACAGUGCAUAGAAAAUAUAUGCGAGAACCUGUUUUGAAUGCAGUUGUUUUCUUGUUAAUGCUAUGAUUUACUGUACAUUACUGUACACACUAUAAAUAUCUUAUUUUAAUUCAUCAAUAAAAUCCAAAGAUAAAAAUAAAUAAUAUGCAGAGGGAUGUUAUGACUCACAGGCCCUGACCCCAAAGCUGAUCAUUUCUUACGUUUUAAUAGAGAGGCUUGUGGCCAAUAUGUCUGCAUAGCUUUGCACUACAAACAACAGUAACAAUGUGUAUUUAUGCACAAUGUUAAUAGUGACGGGAAAAACGACCAAUGAUAUACCAUGUCUGCCAUGACAUAAUGGAAUUUAUUUAACCCCUUGGCAUGAAGAGGACAGCGUCUUAAACCAUAUACAUUUUACACACACUGGUGAUGGCAGGCAGCUAUUUUUAUUUUUUUACGCAGUAUCUAAGAUUUUUAGAAAUAUAACAAUAUUGGGGUUAAGAGUUUUCAAACCCGCAGCUUGUUGUGUCCUCUACAGGUCAACAGGUCAACAGGUUAGGCCAAGCUAUUAAAUGACAAUUCAUUGUUUUGUGCUGGUCCAGUAAUACGAUAUGGUAUUCAGCAUAAAGCAAAAGAAUUUGAAGACAAACACGUCAAUAGCUUAGCUUGCUCUUCAGAAGUCUGCUUCGGAUAACGCCAUGACAUGAUAAAUAUACAAUUUGAAUUAUUCAGUCCUAAAAUUUACUUUCUAAGAUUAUUUUGCAAAACACUUUUUAAAAAAAGUAUUUUCUCUUAUUUCUUUCCAAGUGUUUUAGUUAACAAUGAGUCAUUGUUCUAAUUAAGUUUCCCAAUGAUUAUUCCACAAAGAUUUCCUUUCCUAAAUAGAUUACGUGCAGUAAAAGACAAGCCACAUUUCCUCUUGCAUAAAUCAGAUCCAACUGGGUCUAAUUUAUACAAGCUUGUUUUUAUUUUGUAUAUUAGUGCGAGGUUUAAAUUAUAGGGAUAAAAUGUUUGUUUUGUUUUAUUUUGAAAAACUGCCUAUUUCCCAAUUUAGGGAAUUUUUCUUCAAAAUAAUUUUUUUUUUAAAAUGGAAGGGAAAUUUUGAAGACAUUUGGGAGGCUGCUUUAAAUUUACUUACCUUCACAUUUGGUGGACAUGCCAGUUUUUUGAACAUUUUCAUGACUGUCUGAUUAAUAUUUUCCAUAGACCAAUUAUAUUGGACCCAUGAUCUUUUUAUUAUUAUAUCUGAUAGAGGGUUUUUUAUAUACUGAUCAGCAAUUAUUAUAUAAGCAUUGGCUUAUAGUUGGUUACAGGAUUCCGUCUCUUCAAAGGAUGUGAUUUUGCUCAAAUUAAACCAUAAAACAUUUGAUGAUGGCCAAAGUCAGAAACACCAUGUUUCCUCCUUGAGAGGAAUAUGGGGGUCUUUAACUCUUCUCUUGUCAUAGGAAAGGGUGCUUUCCCAGUCCCGCAGUUCAGAUUCCCCUCUUCUCUCUUUACUUUAUGUCUAUCUUUUUUAUUUGGGUGCUUCAGCCAUUUGUUUUUGACUGAAAAUCUGUUCCGAAUUUUUGGUUUCGGCUGCUGUCUUACUCACAAAUCGUGUAUUGCAUCUGCUUGUUUCUGUACCAAUUUCUGGCCUUAAAUAACAAAUUUAAAAACAAAACAAGCAAAUAAACAAAAAAAAUGCAUCUUGUAUUCCAGAAAUUGAUGUGUGUUGAGUGUACAUGGCAGACUGUUUUGCAUUGCUAAGCUCUGAGAACAUGUAAACACAUUUCCAAAUCAUUGUUUUUGGCAUGAAUCUAACAAUGACUUCUGUGGAUUAUGUUUUUGUCCAACACUAAAACAAGAGAGGGGGUUAUUUCCUUAUACAAUGAAGAUUUCAUUAUAGAAUUAUACAGCCCCAAAAUCCAUCCUAGAUGUACCGUUUGGAGGAGCUUCUACAGUAAAGCGUGGAAGCGAACUUGGCAGACAGGCUUUCCCUCUUUUGUUACAAUUCUUGUGUUAAAUAUUUGUUUUUCUUUCAUGUUUUUUUGUGAGUGAGCUGGCUUAAAGAACAAUUUGUGGAGUCUUAACAUUCCUAUUCUGGUUUGAUAUUUUUCUUAAGUAAUUAUUGCAGUUUCUCAAUAACAGCAGGGUUAAGAGGACUGGAGUAGUCUGGGUGUGUAGCAGGGCGUACAGCGGUAUAAUACCUGCUUAUGGGAUAUAUGAAGAAAGUGCACUUUCGUCAUAUAUAUCCCAUAAGCAGGGAUUUUAGCUCCUUUAAAUGCGAUUUUUGUACCUCCUACUAUUUUAUUGCACUUUGGAUUUUCGACUUAUUGUACUAUUGGCUGCCUCUGUUUCUCUUCUUUUCCAUAUAACAAACAAACACCCUGAGACAUUCUGACGCACCUAUUUCCACUGAAGAGUCUACUCAUCUACAUUUUAUUAAGUAUCCCUGACUGUCCAUUGCUGCUCUAGUGAGAUUUUUUGGGACUCUUUUAUUUUAUGUUGGUGCAGCCCUACUCCAUCUUUUCGUAUUGCUUUCUCUAUUUGUUGAAGGAUUUGAGGGGUUUCCUUUGUUUGGGUUGCUGCCCAUUUACAUAUUUACAGCCCUCCAUGUGUCCUAUUAUCCCUUUUUUCCAGCCCUCUAUGUGUCCCACUAUUCCCCCCUUCCCAGCCCUUCAUAUGCCCCUAUACCCCCCUUCCAGCCCUUCAUGUGUCCCUAUAACCCCCCAGCCCUCCAUGUGGCCCUAUACCCCCUCCCAGCCCUUCAUAUGUCCUUAUAGCCCCAUGUGUCCCUAUAGCCCCCCAGCCCCCAUGUAUCCCUAUAGCUCCUGUAUAGUUGGUUACAGGAUUCCGUCUCUACAAAGGAUGUGAUUUUGCUCAAAUUAAACCAUAAAACAUUUGAUGAUCGCCAAUAUAGCCCCAGCCCCAUGUGUCCCUAAAGCCCCCUCCCCAGGCCCCAUGUGUCCCAUUAUAGCCCCCAUGUGUCCAUAUAGCCCCCCACGUGUCCCAUUAUAGCCCCCUCCCCAGCCCCCAUCUGUCCCUAUAGCCCCCCAGCCCCAUGGGUCCCAUUAUAGCCCCCACCCAGCCCCAUGUGUCCCAUUAUAGCUCCCUCCCAGCCCCCAUAUGUCCCAUUGGCUCCCUCCCCAGCCCAUAUGUCCCAUUAUAGCUCCCUCCCAGCCCCCAUAUGUCCCAUUAUAGCCCCCAGCCUCCAUGUGUCCCAUUAUAGCCCCCUCCCCAGCCCCCAUAUGUCCCAUUAUAGCUCCCCCAGCCCCCAUGUUUCCCAUUAUAGCCCCCGUGUGUCCCUAUAGUCCCCCAGCCCCCAUGUGUCCCAUUAUGCCCCUUCCCCGGCCCACAUGUGUCCCAUUAUAGCUCCCCCUUCCUGUACCUUGCUGUAGCGUGGCUAAGCAGGCAGACCGCGGUAGAGGAGUUUCUUUCCCCCUACCCGGUCUGACAGGAAGCAGUCAUGUGCUCUCUGUAAGCAUUUCCUGUCAGACCGGGUAGGGUAACAGAAUCUCGUCUACCACGGUCUGCCUGCUCGGCCACGCUACACUCUCUGACCGGCAGGAGGGGAGCGCAUCCCCUCCUGCCGGUUGCUGUCUAAUUACGCUGUGCGACCCGCAGGCCGCUGCGCACUAGGUGGUUGCUCACCGGCCCGAUAGUAUGCCGGCCCACCAGUAAAUUUCCCAGUGUCCCGGUGGGCCAGUCCAGCCCUGGCUGGUCCUGUCACGACAGUGACCAAAGUCACAACAAUGACCCCUUCACACAGCGUGAAACCCACAGAAAGACGGUUACCGGACCUUAGUAUGGCCUGACUAGCGUCUGAGAAUAGUCAAGAGAAAUAGCCAGAGGUCAAUUACCAGGAAGAACAAUAAGAAAAGAUAGCACCAGGGGACUUAAACAAGAACCACACUAGGGCAUCUGACAAGUGUCAUGCUUGCCCUUUUAUAGUGUGGGUUCUUUGGCUUUAAUUCCGUAGCCACGCCCCCAAAAAGUCCGGGAGCGUGGCCACGUUUGAAUUUUGGCGCCUUUUUCGAUGUGACGUCGGCGCGCAUGCGCCGCGUCAUAAAUGUGGGCGUGUUCCGAGCGGCCGGCGUCAGAAUCGCUGAGCCGCCCCCCGGAAGGAUCGGAGGAGGACCCGGCGCUGCGCGGGACCGGCGGGGAAAGGUAAGCGCUUGUCACAGUACCCCCCCCUUGAGAACCGCCCCCAGGGCGGGUGGAACCGAACCCACAAGAGCGCCGCCUUUCAUACAGACGAAUCAGGCGAGGGGCGUGAACGUCUGAUGCAUUGACCCACGAUCGCUCCUCGGGACCGUAACCUUUCCAAUCAAGGAGAUACUGUAAUCUACCUCUAGAAAUCCGGGAAUCUAAUAUAGAUUUAACUUCGUAUUCGACAUGAUCCUCCACUGGUGUGGUAGGAGGAGCGGAGACAAUCUGCGUAUAACGAUUACAAAUGAACGGUUUGAGAAGGGAAACAUGAAAAGUGUUAGGAAUUUUCAUAGUAUUCGGUAAUCUCAAACUAUAACAGACUGGAUUAAUGCGUUUGAGUAUCUGAAACGGACCUAUGAAACGGGGAGCAAAUUUCAUCAAGGGUACCUUUAACUUUAUGUUACGGGUACUUAACCAAACCCUGUCUCCUGCCAUGAACGUAGGAGCAGCCCUACGUCGUUUAUCCGCAUUUUUCUUUUGAAUCUGAGACUUUUUUUUUUUUUUUUUUAAUUCUUUAUUUUUGUUGUGCACAAAUAAACAAACAGCCUCAAUAUGCCACAACAGCGGGAUCGAGGUACAUAACAAUUCAAUAUGCAAUACAAGAUGUGACACUUGAUAUUUAGGCACAAAAUUAUUUUGUUUUUUAAAGCAGGUAAGCUAUAAAUAAGUCAGGCUAGUGAGUUCAGGAAUAUUAGAUUAUUACAUUAGUUGAGCCGACAGUAUAUGUUAUUUAGUUAGGACAGGAAUAGUCAAAAGUGUUAUAAAACGUGCACAUUAACUAUAAGAACAGCCAGUGGAUUUUAACACGUGCUAGGCAAGUAUAGGUUAUUAUACCACACGUUCAAGGAGCCACAACUGCAGCUGCAAUCUCCACCACAGAAUAUAUGUUGGGUUACAAGCAUGGCAAUGGAAAAGUCAGCACAGCCCAGUAGGCCAGCCCUCUCAGUUUAACUGAUUACUGGUAGAUGUUGUCAGACUAAUGUACAGUGUGCAAGCGUAUGUAUGGAGAUUGCCGGGUGUCUAUUUGUGUAUUCAUAGUAUAUUAGUGAUGUCAGAUGCUGGUUAGUAGGCUGGUGAAAAUGCGGGAGGAGACAUUAGUCAGUACCUGGGCGACAGGGGACUUGUGUGACAACGGUGUCAGGUACAGUGUGAUAGUAAGGGACGGACCAGGAGGCAGACAUAACAGAAAAACUGCUUAUAAACAUUUGGUCCAGCUAUUUAAAUAUUGUCUGCCCAUCAAGCCCAGUCAAGUUUACAUGCGCGUCUAAGUGGAAGUGGAAAACCUCCCGGGGGGAGCACGGUUCACUAGGUGCUUGUGUCACUAAAACUGUGCCAAAGUUAGACACCUAUAAAUUGUCGCUUAGGUCAUCACAGUAGGUUUUUCAGCUAUUAAGUAAAAAAUAGUGCACAGUAGUAAACAUGCGUGCUACUAUGCUUAAGAGUAUUGGGUAGGCAUCAUUUUAACACAUACAAUAUAGGAGCAUCACAAGACAAUUAGCUGAGCAGAUUGGCAGGUAAGUAAACCAGAUUAAUGGAGCGCCUUAUGGCUGGGUCAGUCCGGCGCUCAGGUCAUCAAGCUAUAUCCACAUGAGGUUUGCAAAAAAGAAAGGGAAAGAAAAAGCAUAAUAUGUCAUGAAGAAGUGAGAUGCAACCGUUAAAAAGGGUUCUGUAGUAUCUCAGCAGUUCUCUGCAGUAUGGGUAGACUUGGGAGAACCACGUGUAGGUCCCACCGCCUCUCUUCAGCCGAUGCCUGUUCGGGUCAGGAUACAGUCCUGCAGUAUGAUGUUGUAGGGUGCGGCUCUCUCACACUCUUCCACGCUGAUUGCUAGUAGCGUGUCGCCCUUGCUAAGCGCCGCGUGUGAGUGUUCACCACAUUGCGGCCUGUGCUGUCGCCGUUGGGGAUUGCCUUUUUGGGGCUCUAUGGGAGUCGCUGCCCCAGUGCCUUGGACCUUGUUCCGGGUUUCCACUGCAGCCCUUCCUGGGCGCCUCAGGUACCCAGCUCCUCGAUGCUUUCUGGGCAUCACGAUUCCUUGCAGUUCCCAAGUGGCUGUUGCCCUUCUCUUGCUGCCGCCAGACAGGCCUCCCGUCUCCCUCUUUCUGAGAAUUUCCGGCUGGUUUUGUCGUGCCAGGCGUUGAGGUGCUCGGGGUGUCUGUACAGGCUUGCGUUUAACCUUGCUUGGGUAAGUGCGCGGGUGUGUUUCUGGCUCUUUCUCAUGGGGUGAUGGGAACAGGAGGGCCUCGAGCUUCUCCCAAAGUACUUGAAAGGCUCUGUCCAGCCGGUGCUCCACCUCCCUCCGCCCGCUGUGAGUAUUGGAGGAGCCCCUUGCCUCCACCAUUUUGUUUGCAUUUCCGCCGCUCGUUUCGGGCCCCUGUGUCGCCACUGUAUGGGCGCCGGGUUGUACCAGGGUCUCCCAUGGACAGACCGGGAUAUCCCCCACCGGUCCGGGGGGGGGGAACGGGCGUUUGGUCUCCGUUUAUCAGCCGUGGGUGUCGGCAGGGGAGCGGCCGUCUCCCUCACGCCGACCACGCUUAUAGGCCCCUCAGGUCGAGGAGGCGAGUUUUGCUGUAAGUGUCGCUUGUGAGGCAUCAUUAUGUGCCCCUCUCUGUCACCUUCCUCCUGGUGUCCUUUUUGUGCUGGUUAUGUCUGGUUUGAACGGCUGUUUUCGAAUCUGAGACUUUUGAUUUAAGAUAUGUUUAACCCCUAGCCAAGUGUCUUUCAUAUUGUGAAGAGUACUGUCAACACUAGGCACUCCUGUAGAUGAAAAAGAACUCGGCAAAGUUGUAGGAUUAAACCCAUAAUUAAUAAAAAAAGGGACUAUGUUGAGUGGAUUUGUGUAUUAGAUUAUUAUGGGCGAAUUCAGCCCAUGGAAGUAAUUUCACCCAAUCGUCUUGGUGCUCAGAAGUGAAACAGCGGAUGUAUUGCUCCAGGCAUUGAUUCAUCCUUUCCGUAACCCCAUUAGAUUGGGGUUGAUAAGAAGAAGAAAGGUUAAGGACAAUACCUAAUUGGUCACAAAAUGCCCUCCAGAACCGUGAAAUGAAUUGUGGACCCCUGUCAGAUGUAAUAUCCUGAGGUAUGCCAUGUAAACGUACUACCUCUUUUAUAAAUAAAGAGGCCAGUUCAGAAGAGGAGGGUAAUUUGAUUAGCGGGAUGAGAUCAGUCAUCUUAGAGAAUCUGUCGAUUAUAGUCAAUAUAACCUUAUGGUUCCUGGAAGGGGGCAGAUCCACUAUAAAAUCCAUGGCAAUAUUAGUCCAGGGUUUAUCGGGAAUGGACAAUGGCAAAAGGAGGCCCAAAGGACGAGCUUUGGAUGAUUUAGUGGAAGCACAGACCCUACAAGCAAGAACGAACUCGCGAACGUCCUUCUUGUAUGAAGGCCACCAAAACUUCAAGUAAAGACUCAGUUUUAUGAAUACCUGGAUGUCCUGCUAAUUUGGAGCUGUGUACAAGGAAUAAAACCUUUUUUCGAUAAGACAGGGGUACGUAUAGUUUACCCCUGGGAAUAGUCAAUGAGGUCUGAUCCUGAAACCUAGAUAACUCUUCCAUUAACCCAGAAGAGAUUUUGGCACGGACUGUUGUGAUUAUGUGGUUGGAUGGGAUUAUGGAAGAGAGGUGUGUUACUGUAGGUGAUAAGUGUUCAUAUUGACGGGAUAAGGCGUCAGCCUUAGUGUUCUUUGAUCCUGGUCUGUAAGUUACUAUGUAAUUGAAUCGUGUUAAAAAUAAAGACCAUCUAAUCUGUCUAUCUGACAUUCUUUUAGUUUCUCCAAAAUACGAAAGGUUUUUGUGAUCCGUAAGGAUGGUGAUGGGAACGGUAGACCCUUCUAACAGAUGGCGCCACUCCUUGAGGGCAGAGAUAAUAGCCAAUAACUCCCUGUCCCCAAUGUCAUAUCUCUUUUCUGUCUCAGUUAAUUUCUUAGAAAAAAAUCCACAGGGAUGCAAUGGUUGAUCAUCAGAUGGACGUUGAGACAGUACGGCCCCAAUACCGGUCUCUGAUGCAUCCACCUCUAAUAUAAAUGGACGAGAGGGAUUGGGAUGCCUCAAUACUGGUGCAGAAGAAAAGGCCAAUUUAAGUCUCUCAAAAGCUUCUUUGGCCUCGAGAUUCCAUUCCAUAGAAUUUCGCCCCUUUUUGGUCAUGGCAGUGAUAGGUGCAGUGAUAGAGGAAAAACCCUUAAUACAUUUUCUAUAAUAAUUGGCAAACCCUAGAAAGCGUUGGAUAGCUUUGAGACCAACGGGCAGGGGCCAAUUAAGGAUAGCUUCUAGUUUUUUCUUAUCCAUUUGAAAUCCAGACCCUGAAAUCAUAUAACCCAGAAAAUGCACAGUGUCUAUAUCAAAUUGGCAUUUUUCUAAUUUACAAUAAAGUCCAUUUUCUAAGAGUUUAGAAAGAACCAACCUAACGUGAGUAUGGUGGUCUUGAAUAUUCUUGGAGUAGAUUAGAAUGUAAUCUAAGUAGACAAUAACAAACAUAUGUAAAAAUUCCCUUAAAACAUCAUUAAUGAAGUCUUGAAAGACUGCUGGGGCAUUGCAUAACCCGAAUGGCAUGACCCUAUACUCGUAGUGACCAUAGCGAGUGUUAAAAGCAGUCUUCCAUUCGUGCCCUUUUUUAAUCCUCACUAGAUUGUAUGCCCCCCUGAGAUCCAAUUUAGUAAAGAUAGUCGCCCCUUUUAAUCUAUCGAAAAGUUCCGUGAUUAGAGGAAUAGGAUAGGCGUUACGUAUAGUUAUUUUGUUUAAACCCCGAUAAUCAAUACAGGGCCUUAAGUCCCCUUCCUUCUUGGAAACAAAAAAAAACCCAGCGCCAGCAGGAGAGGAAGAUUUGACGAUAAACCCCUUUCUUAAGUUUUCUGUGAUAUAUUCCUCUAGUACCUUAUUCUCGGUUACCGAGAGGGGAUAAACUGUGCCUCUAGGAGGCAUAGUGCCGGGUAACAAGUCAAUUGGACAGUCAUAGGACCGGUGUGGGGGUAAUUUUUCUGCCUCUCUUGGUUCAAAAACUGCUUUUAAAUCCCAAUAUUGUCUGGGUAUUAAAGUGGUUAAAGGUUCCAUAGUAGGUACAUUAAGUAGACCUACUUGUUUAAUAGGGGUAAUACAUUUUCUAUGGCAGGCCUCACUCCAUUUUACAAUUUCCUUUUUCUCCCAAUCUAUAGAAGGGUUAUGUUUAGAGAGCCAAGGAAAACCAAGAAUAACCGGGAAGAUGGGAGAAGUGACUUGUUGCAGGAUAAUAACCUCCUUAUGCAGGGAACCUACGGACAAUACCACUGGAAGAGUCUCUUGUGUGAUAAACGGGAUAGAUAAUGGUCUACCAUCUAUGGCCUCAACGGCCAAGGGUGUUGAUCUAUUCUGAAAUGGGAAAGCAUGUUCCUGACCGAAUCUAUGAUCAAUAAAAUUUUCGGCCGCCCCAGAGUCUAUUAAGGCAAUGGUUGGCACUUUUUUCUUUUCCCACUCGAUAACAAUAGGUAGAAGAAGCCUAUGGUCUUUUUUAUCAUUAAAGGAGGACAUACACAUUACACCCAAGGCCUGUCCUCCAUGAGGGCUUAGGUGCGGGAGUUUUCCGGCCGGUUAGGACAGGUUGAGCGAGAAUGUCCCUUUCGGCCACAAUAUAGGCAUAGUCCCUCCCUACGGCGGUAUUGUCUUUCAUCCUCAGACAAACGCGUGACUCCCAGUUGCAUUGGUUCUGGAGGAGCGACUGUUGUUGUCUCGGAUGAAGGAUAGGUUAACGCUAAGCGUUCUGGCACCCGUCGAGGUCUGUCUCUAGUAUUCUGCCUGUGUCUAAGACGCUCAUCAAUGUGGGAAAGGUAUGUGAUCAAUUCCUCUAGCACAUUGGGUAGGUCUCUAGUGGCGACUUCAUCUAGGAGUUUAUCUGAAAGCCCGUUCAUGAAUACGUCAAUAAAUGCUUGUUCAUUCCAUCUAACUUCGGCCGCAUGAGUGCGGAAUUCUAAAGCGUAAUCAACAAGAGAACGAGAACCCUGUCUCAUACGUAGCAAGGUUUUGGCAGCGUUAGUUCUCCUCCCUGGAGGAUCAAAAGCCCUCCUGAAAGCUGUGACAAAUUCUACAUAGUUAAACACUACCGGGUUAUCGUUCUCCCACAGUCAAUGCCCUAUCGACCAAUAAGGUAAUGAUAUAACCUAUUUUUGCCCUAUCUGUAGGGUAUGCUCUCGGAUGGAGCUCAAAAUAAAUACUGACUUGAUUCAAAAAACCUCGGCAGCCUUUAGGAUCACCCCCGUAACGGAGAGGAGAGGUAGCAUGAUUAGGAGUACCCAUUUCCAUGGGUUGUUCCUGAGGUCUGAGUACUGGGGUUUGCUCCUCCGGUUGGAGAUGGGCAGUACGAGCAAGCAAGGUUUGUACCGCAAUAGCGAACUGGUCCAUACGAUGGUCCAGUUCUUCAAACCGGUCAUCAGGUGCCGGUCCGAGAGGGUUAACACCUGCAGGGUCCAUGGCCCUAGUGUAAUGUCACGACAGUGACCAAAGUCACAACAAUGACCCCUUCACACAGCGUGAAACCCACAGAAAGACGGUUACCAGACCUUAGAAUGGCCGGACUAGCGUCUGAGAAUAGUCAAGAGAAAUAGCCAGAGGUCAAGGGAAUACGGAAGACGGGCACACGAUUAUCCAAGCCAAGUGACGGGAAACCAGAAAACAGAAUAGUCAGAGAGAGUAAGCCAAGAUACUGCCCUCCCUCACCUCCCCACGUGCUCAACAGCCCCGAACACACACACAGACAGAUAAACGUACUGGCACAUACACACAUUCCAGCACAUAAGCACUGAAACACAGAUACACACACUGGCACAUACACAUAGAUACACACAACGACAAAUACACUCAGAUACACAAAUUGUCACAAACACACACACACACUGGCACAUAUACUCAGAUAUACACACUAACACAUAUUGACAUGCACACAAUCUGACACACACAUGUCACACUUAGAUUUGCAACCACCCUCCUGUUAGCUUACCUUUGUGUCCAGGAGGGUGGCUUGCCUGAAGUUAUGGUGUUGGUUGAGGCCUCCUGCCUCCAGGCUGCUGCCUCUUUCCUCCAGUACUCCUCCAGUACUCCCAGGCGGGAAGCUCUCUGUGAAGGUGACUGUCACUUCCUCCCUGCCGGAUGAUAUCACAGGUGCUCGGUCCACUCUUAAAGGGCCAGCACACGACAGUGCCCCUGUUUAAUGAGUGGGAUUGUUAGGGGGCGUAAAUUAUACACCAUAUAAUGGAAAUCACACACACAUCAGAUUGUGUGUGUGAUUUCCGGGAUAUUGUGUGUGACUUGCGAGUGUCAGGGAGCCGCAUUCAACAUGCAGGAGUCCACUUGGCAUGUCUGAUAAAGUAAUCUGCUGCAGGGUCGAGGUGGUUAUCAGCACAGCAGAAGAUAAGACAUUCCAAAUUAAACAAAAUAUGCAAAGUUAUUUUGGUGACUAUAGUGUCUGUUUAAUAAAUGUUUAAAACAAAACUUGACAUGAAAGAAAAAAAGUUUACACAAGUUACAGGUGAUUUUCAAAUGCUUUAUAAUUGGUGUAAUUGACCAAUAAGUGACAUUUUCUCUGAAUGAUUGAUAGCUUUAAUAGCACUAAUUAUGUUCAACUUUUUGUAUAAUUGUUUGAUCACUGCAAGAACACUAGAAUGCCAGACUAUGCUUGUUCAGGUUUAAUUUGUUCCAACUGUGCAUUUGUACAAAGGGAUGCGAAUAAGAGAAUGUACUCAUUUUGUAAUUGGUCCUUAAUCAUUCAUCUGUUUUGUUUAGGAAUUGAUAAGAAAGGAGUGCAUGGAAAAUCUUUACUUCCAUAUUGCCCAUCACUGCCGAUAAAUCAAUCACCAGGAAGGACACAGAAUGAAAAGUCAUUUGUGAAAUGGAUGGCAGUGUCCGAAGAAUACUUUGCAGAACUCAUGAACAUUUGGCGACCACAUGUCUGAAAAUACCUCGUAAGAUGCAAAAGCAGUUAUUUGUUUUACAGAUAUAUUUAGCGUCCGUACUGCCAAGAUGUCGUAUUUUUACGAUAAUUUUAUAUUUCUCAACACUUUGUAAUACUAUUUUUUUUUUCCCAUUUCAUAGACAAUGUGAUGGGUUUUACAACCCAGCUCAGUUGAUUUUGUGUACGUUUACGCGUGUUUUGUAUAAAAGGAGAGAAUGUGCUUUGUAUCUGUAUGCGGUUCGAUUUUUGUAUCUUUGUAAGAUAUUGCCAAACUGGGUAAUAUUUAGCCUUUUUUUACUACUAGAUCAGUAUACAGUUCACCCAACUCCAUUCAAUGAAACAGAAGAAUCUAAAAUUACAAAAUUAAGGCUAGAGUAACCAAGCUGAGCUUGAGCAGAAUUAGAUAAUUUUUCCAAAUCAGAACUUUUGGCCUACAUUUUUCAAUUCGGUUUUCAAUUCACUACAAUUCUUUGUAUAAAACCGUGUAGCUUUUUAAAGGACCACUAUAGUGCCAGGAAAACAUACUCGUUUUCCUGGCACUAUAGUGCCCUGAGGGUGCCCCCACCCUCAGGGACCCCCUCCCGCCCGGCUCUGGAAAGGGGAAAGGGGUUAAAACUUACCUUUUUCCAGCGCUGGGCGGGGAGCUCUCUGCCUCCUCUCCUCCUCCGAUCCUCCUCCGGGCUGAAUGCGCACGCGCGGCAAGAGCUGCGCGCGCAUUCAGCCCGUCGCAUGGAAAGCAUUUACAAUGCUUUCCUAUGGACGCUUGCGUGCUCUCACUGUGAAAAUCACAGUGAGAAGCACGCAAGCGCCUCUAGUGGCUGUCAAUGAGACAGCCACUAGAGGAUUAGGG